This is a long non-coding RNA of Carya illinoinensis, 795 nucleotides long. RefSeq lists it as uncharacterized. NCBI's taxonomy places the organism in Eukaryota, Viridiplantae, Streptophyta, Magnoliopsida, Fagales, Juglandaceae. The record is from RefSeq and is a predicted model, not a curated record. The transcript has 3 exons.
UUGGUUGGUACUUGUUGAUGAUCAAUCACUCAGUUCCUUGAAUACAUUGAAAUGUGUGGGGAUUUUUACUAUGAUGCAUGCCUUCUUACCUGUGUAAAGUUAAUUAGACCCAUACUUUUGUUGAGAGGAGGCUGACAAUUGUUAGUUUGGAGCUUGACCCUCUUGGUAGGUUUCAAAUCUGAAAUUUUGUACAUCUACUUGCUAAAGUUGCUUGAGAAAUCUAUUAAUGUGUUAUACAAACAAUACGGCUAUUUCCAAAUUUUUCUCAUAUAUAGACUUAUAAAUAUAUCUCCCCGUGUGUGUGAUUGGGGUGGGGGGAGUCCAAGUUGAAAUUCUUCUUGUAUGUCUCCUGGUUAACUCAUGUGCAAGUGAUAGUUGCAAUGUGUUCAAAAGUGUCGUUUAUCAGCAGCAAUAAUGAAAGCUACUGGUUGUGGUGAGGAGCUUGUCUCUUAAGACCACCAUGGGGAGACCAGUGCGCAUAUAAUGAGUUCUUGGCCAAGGGAGUUCUGUAAUACUUCCAUUAGGGAGAUGGCAAAUUAGAAAAAAUAUAAUUAUGGUUUUACUUAUAUAUUGGUUAUUUGUUAUUAUAUAAAAAAUUAGAAAAAAUAUAGUUAUGGUUUUAUAUAUUUGUUAUCUGUCAUAUAAUUUGUUUGUGGAAUUUGUUGGCCAUCAUUUUAGGUGAUUUAAAUUUACAUGAAGAUGCUAGUCCAAAAAUGAGUGGUAGAGAUCUUACCAAUGGAUCACUUUCAAGCCAAUUAUUUUAAAAUUGCUAUUUGGUGUGGAAAUUAAAUCAUU